RNAcentral lists this ribosomal RNA (63 nucleotides) under Kandleria vitulina. Lineage: Bacteria; Bacillati; Bacillota; Erysipelotrichia; Erysipelotrichales; Coprobacillaceae. The record is from RNAcentral.
CGGAAGUUAAGCAUCGCAGCGGCGACGAUAGUCGGAAACGGCAAAAACAGCACGCUGCCAGUC